ACGAAGGGGGCUAGCGUUGUUCGGAAUUACUGGGCGUAAAGCGCGCGCAGGCGGUCCUUUAAGUCGGGGGUGAAAGCCCAGAGCUCAACUCUGGAACUGCCUUCGAAACUAGAGGACUUGGGUACGGGAGAGGUGAGUGGAAUUCCGAGUGUAGAGGUGAAAUUCGUAGAUAUUCGGAAGAACACCAGUGGCGAAGGCGGCUCACUGGCCCGUUACCGACGCUCAGGCGCGACAGCGUGGGGAGCAAACAGGA
RNAcentral lists this ribosomal RNA (253 nucleotides) under uncultured prokaryote. RNAcentral's name for it is "partial 16S ribosomal RNA". It matches the Rfam family "Bacterial small subunit ribosomal RNA", at positions 525 to 777 of the family's 1533-position model. The record is from RNAcentral.